GUCUUCAACAGAAAUGAAGGCAGAAGGCCUCUCUCCGAGGGGGGACGGGAAAACCUAGUGGGGUGAUUCUUGCUGCUGAAGAGUCACCCCUAGAUGCGGGUUUCCCAGCGAGGACCUGAGACAAUGGCCUGCCUCCUGGUCCCUCUUCCCGGCAGUGGGAGGGGCGGCUGCACAACGGACAGGGUCAGGACCAGCCUGAAACUCCCCAGACACUGUGACUGAGAGUGGACUGUGACCACAGACGGGGAACAGUGUGGCCUGCCACGUCUAAGAGACCAGCUGAUUGCCUGACAAACCUUGUGUGCUGACUAGUUACACCGCAUCCGAAGAAUCGGUUAAAAAACAAAAAGGCAGAAAUUCUGUUGGCUCAGAGGAGCAGAACGGGACAGGUCAGGCGGUUCUGGAAACUGGCCACCAGAGACUCCACUGGACACCACCUGGUUCUGCCUCUUCUUCAGUAGCGGCUCAUGGUGGCUUCUCAGGGCCACCACCAGCUGCCAUCGCAGCUUCCCAUCAAGCCCUCAGCCCGGGGCAACUCCCCAGGGCAGGCUCUGAAGCAGGGUGCAGGGAGGAAGGGCGUUGCGCUGGAGUCCCAAGGUGGGGGGGAGGGGAAGGAAGGAGCAGCCCCACAACUUGGAAGAGGUGAACACAGACCCAGCAGCACCCCAACUUCUGAAUGGAGCCCAGAGAUACAUCAGGCCACCCCACCGUUGGGUCAGCAGGCCACCACGAGGCCUUGUGUUCUACCUGCUCCGUCCUUGUGUCCACCUGGCUCCCUGCCCUGCCUGGUCAGGCCUGCCCCACCCUUUCUGGUUAUAGUUCCAGGUCUUACUUAGAAUUCGCUUCCCCUUGAAGCCCUGUGUGGAAGGCCACUCCCUCUUCCUGCUCUUCAGGCCACCCUGAACACCCCUCGCCUGAGCUCCAGUCUGGCCUGGCUGCUCAAAGGUCUGCCCUGCCCAGCUGCGCCUCCUUCCCUGCCACGGGACUGCCUGCCCGAAGUGGUGACUCAUCACUGAGCCCGGCAGCCGGAGCGGCUCCACUCCCUGGGGCCUCAAGUGGGUGUGCUUCUGUGAGGCACUCAGGGACAGUGGAGGCCUGAGCGUGGCAGCGUGCCAGCAGGACGGGGUCCAAGGAACACCUAAGUCACCGGGAGGAAACCCUCAGCUAUCGCACAGCUGGGAGAACGGUUGCAGGCUGGCUCCUGAAGGUGAGGCCUGAGUGAGCUGGCGUGGGAGCCUGGGCCACCUGUGGACAGGACCCCUGGUCCACCCACACUAUGCCUCGGGCCGCACCAUCUUGUACCAGUUCCGCCUGGGUGUGGUCUCUGGGGGGUGGAGGCUCUGCUCUGUGAUGCCUGCCCAUUCCUAUGGUGUAAAUGUGCCCACCAUGGCCAGUUUCAAGUGACCAGGAUGAUGUCACUGAACACGGAGUAUUUCCACCAUAAUGACGCAAUACGUGCAGCCACCUCCAGGACAGGCAGUAGUGAAUGUCGCCAAUGGUGCUGCUUCCUCCUGGAAGUCCACCCGUCGCUUCCAGCAGGGUUUGUGCUCGGGCCAGUGCGACUGUGUCUCCACCUCGGAACACAGAGUGCCCCAGAGGACGGAGCUGCUCAGCUGAGUUAGUAUGGGGAGGCCGCGGCAGCGAGUGAGGCCCUGGCUGUGUGAUGAGAGGGCCCCCGGGAAGACAGCAUGCGUGAUGUCAGUGAGACUUGAGAAGAACUACCAUGUAGGGGGUGAAGCCCCACGGGAGGAGACCCGAAUCAAUGGCCACUACCAGACACGGGUACGACCCUGACUGUCCUCCGACCAGAGGCACAACUGAGUCCAGGCAGAUCCAGCAGAAGAAACGAGCCCAACCAUGGCUCACCGCAUACUCAUAAAACUAAUGAAAACUAAAUAAAACUGUUUUG
Long non-coding RNA from Marmota monax (woodchuck), 1909 nucleotides. RefSeq lists it as uncharacterized. The transcript is spliced from 5 exons. The record is from RefSeq and is a predicted model, not a curated record. Lineage: Eukaryota; Metazoa; Chordata; Mammalia; Rodentia; Sciuridae.